UUGACAACUAAUAGUGUUUGGCGAAAGGUGCUUUAUUAUAGUAAUGCAUCUAUAGUUAUACCAAGCAUGGUAUCAAUAAGCUACAAUGAACAAAAUGUGAAUAUGAAGCACCUGAACCCCAAUGUGGGUAAUAAUAAAAGUAAUUAGAAAAAAUUAACAAUAAAAAGAAAAAGAAAAAAAAAAAUGUUUUAUAUCAAUUACAUAAUAAAAGUGGCCUGGAACAUGCUCUUCCGCCCAAAACCACAUGGCAAUACAAACCCGGAUGAAGCAUCAAAGGGAAGCAAUUCUUACAAGGCGUCAUCAAUUAUGUACAAUGAGAGUUGCCUCCCAUUGUACGCAAUUGACAACUAAUAGUGUUUGGCGAAAGGUGCUUUAUUAUAGUAAUGCAUAUAUAGUUAUACCAAGCAUGGUAUCAAUAAGCUACAAUGAACAAAAUGUGAAUAUGAAGCACCUGAACCCAAAACGAAGUCGCCAAACACAGGGGUUAAUAAUAUAUACAUAAAAAAUUAAAAAAAAUAAAAAAAACCAACAAAACCCAACAACAUCAAAUCAAGAAUAUAAAAAUACACCGGCGAAAAUACCCUAACACUAACUACCAAUCAAAUAAUUCAUAGCUGACGUAACCCGAUACAUAUCAACACUAGCUUGUCUAAUGUAAGUCUGAAAACAAUCAGAUCUCCAGUCUCCGUGAUGUUUCAAUAAAAUCUCAGGAAUACCAGCCUUGGUGGCUAAUGUAGCCCCUCCGUGUCUCAGCGAAUGAAAAGAAUAAACUGAAGGGUCUAAACCAACAAGAACAAUUAAUUCUCUAAAACGGUUCAACAAAACGGAUCUAGAUAAAGGCAAUAAUUUACCAUGAACACAGGGGUUUCAUUAUCUUUCAUGUUGACUGGUACUUUCCACGUUUCUAGGUGGUACUUUUCAAUUUAUUCCAUGAAUAUCUUAUAUGAAAAUUCCUACAUUUAGGCGGUACUUGUCAAAAGCAUAGGAGGGUAAAAGUACCGGGUACCGCCUCCUAAUGAAUGCCCUGUGAACAGGUAAAGCAAAAACGGGAGCAUUCUUAUCACCAGGUAUUAAAGACACAAGAUGCUUAUAAGCUCGAGCAGGACAUAUUGAUGGCUCAACUGAGCAACACAAGGAAACCUGAUGGGUGUAGUCAUGAUUUUGUCUAGUCUUUGACCAUUUCAAUAAAAGGAGGAUACCCUUUUCACUAACAACAACAUUAUCUCUGAUCAAUUGUUCACGGGAAUUAAAAGAUGUAGAGCUUCUGCUGACCAGGUUUGACGCCCUAAGCAUACCAAAAAAAGCAAACGUUAGAAAACACCAUAAACAAGCAUCUAAAUAAUCAUAAAUAUUCAACAACUUAACAAUAUCAAUUAAAUGUGUAGGUAACAAUGGUAAUUUUGACACAGCCACAUGCUGAUUCUUAUGACUCAAUCCUCUUAAAGUCAAUUUGAAUUCUGUAGAUAAAAAAGGUUCCACAGUAAAACCAAAAAGUUGACUCCAGGUCUUAAUGCCAGAAAUAUAAUUCUUAACAGAUGAAAAACUGCUUAAACUCUUGGAUAGAAAACAUGCAUAAGCACACAAUAUAUCCUUAAUACAAGGAAAUGGUCGAAAUUUAUAAUAAACACAAAAAAUAUGGUAUGCAUUGAGUUGACUCUUCAAAUUUGAAUAAGUACCAGGCCGAAAGGCUGCACCCUUAGCAAGCUUGACCUCUUUCUGCAAAACUGCUCUUCUGGACUUAAGACCUGGAAGUCAUAAACAACAGUAAUUAGAUAAACAACAAUGUCAUAUUAAUUAUCAAAGUUAGUCUUAUCUGACACUAAAUAUGCGCA
RNAcentral lists this long non-coding RNA (1832 nucleotides) under Mytilus galloprovincialis (Mediterranean mussel). The record is from RNAcentral. Lineage: Eukaryota; Metazoa; Mollusca; Bivalvia; Mytilida; Mytilidae.